AAGGCCCUCUCCUUGGGUGAUUAGCCUUUGCUUAUGCAAAGAGGAAUCAACAAAGGUAUAAAAUAUCUCAAUUCACUUUGUUCUUGAGUUGAGUCUUGGUUCACCUUUCUACUAGGCUUUGAAUUUCAUGGGUAAUGUUUUGUUUUUAAGUGCAUACAAGCAUGAUUCCGCCUUUAAAUGUUAAUUGCAUGCUAUAGAUGUUGCUCAUUUGAUAGUAGACAUGAAUAAAGAUCGUAUUG
This 239-nucleotide long non-coding RNA is filed under the name Malus domestica (apple). RNAcentral describes it as "long non-coding RNA (MDOM_LNC005993)". Lineage: Eukaryota; Viridiplantae; Streptophyta; Magnoliopsida; Rosales; Rosaceae. The record is from RNAcentral.